GACGAACGCUGGCGGCGUGCCUAAUACAUGCAAGUAGAACGCUGAAGGAGGAGCUUGCUUCUCUGGAUGAGUUGCGAACGGGUGAGUAACGCGUAGGUAACCUGCCUGGUAGCGGGGGAUAACUAUUGGAAACGAUAGCUAAUACCGCAUAAUAGUAGAUGUUGCAUGACAUUUGCUUAAAAGGUGCAAUUGCAUCACUACCAGAUGGACCUGCGUUGUAUUAGCUAGUUGGUGAGGUAACGGCUCACCAAGGCGACGAUACAUAGCCGACCUGAGAGGGUGAUAGGCCACACUGGGACUGAGACACGGCCCAGACUCCUACGGGAGGCAGCAGUAGGGAAUCUUCGGCAAUGGACGGAAGUCUGACCGAGCAACGCCGCGUGAGUGAAGAAGGUUUUCGGAUCGUAAAGCUCUGUUGUAAGAGAAGAACGAGUGUGAGAGUGGAAAGUUCACACUGUGACGGUAUCUUACCAGAAAGGGACGGCUAACUACGUG
RNAcentral lists this ribosomal RNA (495 nucleotides) under uncultured bacterium. RNAcentral's name for it is "partial 16S ribosomal RNA". It matches the Rfam family "Bacterial small subunit ribosomal RNA", at positions 28 to 507 of the family's 1533-position model. The record is from RNAcentral.